UGGCAGUGGUGGUGAUGUUAGUGUUGUUGCUGUUGUUGGUGGUGGUGAUGUUAGUGUUGUUGCUGUUGUUGGUGGUGGUGCUAGAAACAAAGGUGGUACAGUUCUAUAUUUAAGAGAUUAUUAAGAAUGAGCUGACCUUUUGAACUUUCUCCGGCUGUUGAAGGUUUAGUGGUGAUGUUCUCAGGUUGAAGCCAUCUAAAGAUGACCCUGUUCAGAAGGCUGUAAUAUGUCAUUCGACAAAGAAUUCAUAGAACAAACUGAAACUUUAAAUACUUUUACUCUCGGUCUCAAAUAUAUACAAAUUGAAUAACAAUGGAAAGAGGUUGAUGAAAGAACCAUGUUCAUCUUCUGCGUAACCUCAUGGUAUUCGCUGCCGCAGGUGUGCGAGAGAUGGCUAGAUCAAGUCUUGGCGAUCUUUCGGUACUAGAUCCCAUAACUUCCGGUCGUUGUGCGCACGCAUACUGAUUACAUUAUCGUAUAAUGUGUGUAGUAACGUCGUGCGCAUGCGUAGUCUCACGCAUGCGUGGAAUUCAACAACCAAGCUUUCCCGCUUCAUUCUGUCUCUUUCUUGCUGGCCAGCGAUUGAGCAAGGACGUGUUUAGCUGUCUCUCUCCAUCUUUCGAACUUACGCUAGACAGCUCGCUCACAUCUACAUACCAACGUCCCAACAACCAUGCUCACACACACAGAAGACGUCUCAACAAACAAGAGCUAAUGAUGUAUAUAUAUUCCACCUUAAAUAAAUAAUUGUUAUGUUGAUA
Molecule: long non-coding RNA, 761 nt
Organism: Octopus bimaculoides (California two-spot octopus)
Lineage: Eukaryota; Metazoa; Mollusca; Cephalopoda; Octopoda; Octopodidae
Source: RefSeq, a predicted model, not a curated record